RNAcentral lists this transfer RNA (71 nucleotides) under Marmota monax (woodchuck). RNAcentral describes it as "tRNA.Ala". The record is from RNAcentral. Lineage: Eukaryota; Metazoa; Chordata; Mammalia; Rodentia; Sciuridae.
GGGGUUGUGGCUCAGUGGUAGAGCACUCGCCUAGCACAAGCGAGGCCCUGGGUUCUAUCCUCAGCACCACA